RNAcentral lists this ribosomal RNA (218 nucleotides) under uncultured bacterium. RNAcentral describes it as "partial 16S ribosomal RNA". It matches the Rfam family "Bacterial small subunit ribosomal RNA", at positions 28 to 236 of the family's 1533-position model. The record is from RNAcentral.
GACGAACGCUGGCGGCGUGCUUAACACAUGCAAGUGGAGCGACGAACCGACCUUCGGGUCGGGGCAGAGCCGCGAACGGGUGAGUAACACGUGGGUAACCCACCCCGACUGACCGGGACGAACCCGAGGAAACUACGGGCUAAUACCGGAUGAGCUCUCAGACCAUGAGGUCUGUGAGGAAAGAUAGCUUCGGCCUUCGCAUCGGGACGGGCCCGCGG